Spinacia oleracea (spinach) is the source of this 802-nucleotide long non-coding RNA. RefSeq lists it as uncharacterized. Lineage: Eukaryota; Viridiplantae; Streptophyta; Magnoliopsida; Caryophyllales; Amaranthaceae. The transcript is spliced from 4 exons. The record is from RefSeq and is a predicted model, not a curated record.
GGAAAAGGAAAAGGAAAGGAAAGCUCUUCUUCAGCAUUACUCCUUUAUGAGCCCUAAACGGCUAAACCCUUCAUCACCGAAAUUGAAACCGGCCUGCACAAUUAAAAUUCAACACUCACGAAACGAAAACCUCCAUCAAUGAAAUCGAAACUACCAUCAAGGCAUCAAUACUCACGAAAAUAAAAUUCUCCAUCAACAAAUUGAGAAUCGCGAAAUUGAAACCCUCCAUCAACAAAUUGUGAAUCGCGAAAUUGAAACCCUCCAUCAAUAAAUUGAGAAUCGCGAAAUUGAUGCGAAAGAUUCAGAGACAAUCACUUAGUCACCGCACGAAGCCGUCGAAUCAGCAGUAGCGAUCCCUUCCAAAAUGGUCUUCGGAUGCGAGGAAUAAGAAUAUCGAGAAUGUUCUGAUUUGUAUGGUGAUCAGCUCUACACGAUGGACUAUAUGGAUCUUGUGCAGAGUCACAUUGACAGAAACUCCGAUAUCACAGUUUCUUGUGUUCCUGUUGGUGAGACCAAGUGGACACCCAAAUCCUUGGAUUAUCUCAAAAAGAUGCAUCAAGUAACCCUUACAUUUCAUCCAUGGGAGUUUAGGUGUUUAAGACAGAUGUUGUACUUAAACUUCUAACACAUGCAUAUUACCCAAGAUGCAAUGACUUUGGGUCUGAAAUUCUUCCUUAUGCUGUGAAGGAUCAUAGUAUUCAAGUAUAAUUCUAAAAGAUGAUCUCUUUGCUGUGAAGGAUGUAUUACUCAUUAUACAAAACGUCGGCAUCUGGAGUGACUUUUCCCUCUUUUCAGCUGAGUA